Molecule: unclassified non-coding RNA, 241 nt
Filed under: uncultured fungus
Lineage: Eukaryota; Fungi
Description: sequence contains ITS1
Source: RNAcentral
GUAUAUUAUAUCAAAUUCAAUUCAACAUUCUAAACACAUUUGUGAAAAAUGAAACAUAGACCUGGAGAUGCAAGGAAAGCCACAGCAGUCCUCAAUCUAUACAAAAUAACUCCAGGUCUACAAUAUGUGCACAGUUUGGAAGAUGAAAAAACAACAAGCGUGCACAUGUCCAGAAGGACCAGCAACAGCCCAUUUUUGUUUUUAUUCGAUAAUGAUCCUUCCGCAGGUUCACCUACGGAAA